AGCAGUGUGGUCUAGUGGUAAAAAGUAGGACUGGCAACCAAAAGGUCACUGGUUCGAUUCCCUGAUGGGGUACUGCUG
Megalops atlanticus (tarpon) is the source of this 78-nucleotide non-coding RNA. NCBI's taxonomy places the organism in Eukaryota, Metazoa, Chordata, Actinopteri, Elopiformes, Megalopidae. The record is from the annotation of a GenBank genome assembly.